CUGACAACCCUGGAGACAGAUGUCCUCCUCUCUUUAGCUGCAGAGCAGACAGAUCGGUACAAAUGUCCCAAAGCACACUGCCCCACCAAUGUGUCUCAGCCCCAACCUAGAGAGACCACCUUUAGUGGAAAAGAAAAACCAGUCGGUUCAUGGUCCAUUCAAUAGUUGGUCUUU
Unclassified non-coding RNA from Chelonoidis abingdonii (Abingdon island giant tortoise), 174 nucleotides. NCBI's taxonomy places the organism in Eukaryota, Metazoa, Chordata, Testudines, Testudinidae. The record is from Ensembl.